GGCUUAAUGUUUUUGUAUUGCAUAAAUAUGACAAGUAACUAUCCACUUAGCAGUAAGUUCGUCAUUAUCUUUAUAUUCGUCAUCAAAUGGAUUUAAUAUUAUGGUUGUAUUCAUGGAUCUUUCUGGACAGUGGGUGAUGUGUGUCGGCCGUUAACGUUAGCAUAUCUCCAUGGACAGCUAAGUGUCUAUGAUGUUAAAUUAUUAGGCCUAUGUUGAGUAUAACUAUUUUAUUCGUAAGUAUAAAAUGGAAGUUAACACAUCUCCUCCCAGUCGUUGUUUGGAAUUUUAGCCUUAGUCUCCCGGCCAGUUUCAUAAAUUUUCAUCAGCCAGCGAACAUUUUGUCCGAUGGGCAUGUGUAAUUUCUAGAAGUGCUAGUUCUUCAGAAAAAGGAUACGUGCCUAAGUACACUAAACCAACGUUAGUUCUGCUGCUGUGUUGUUCCGGUUUUUAUUCCAAACUUCCAUUUUCACUCCUAAUGUUCACCCUGACGUGAACAGGAAAUGUGCAUGAUAUCAUUUGACUGUUGUAGGCCCCUAGAGUACUUCUAGGUGUUUUCAUGACCGAUGUCAGUUAACUUUUUGGGAGCCAACGCAUGUGAGGCGAAACGUGUUUUUUACCUGACUUGGGAGUCAAAUGUUUUGAAUGUCUACUAUACAUUGAUUAAGGCAUUUUCACGCACGAGCAGGAAACAAUGAUACAUUACUAAUACUUAAUUCAAGUCAGUGGCAGGAAAUGAUAAACCAUAACCAGCAACGCAUUAAUUACAGCAAUGCAUUACUUUUUCUGCAACUCAGAGAAUACCUUAAGUUUGGCAGUUUUUUAGCAACUCAGUCAACAUUGCAUGUAAGCUUAACACAAUAAUGCAUAUUUUUUCUUUUUUGUGUCACUCCUCACCACAUAUGGCAGAUUUAGUGUGAAGAGCCACCUGUACAAGAUUCCUGGGACAGCAGAACAUGCACCUCACGCACUACCCUGGCACCCUGGCUGAACAACCCGCAGCACAUCAUCUCCAGCUGAGAGGGGGACUCAUACAUUCAUUUGAAAUCAGCUCUACUGAGGUUUCUACAGGCUGCCAGGUUGUUGCUGCCUUGGUCCAUUACCAGCACCAUGGGAGUGAAGCCAGUGUCAAGCACCUUUUCCACCGCCUCCAUGAUUUUGGUUUUUAAGACCCCAUGCUUCAUGGUCCCAGAUGACAAGAAGUACCCUAUGGGUUGUUUCCAUUUCCCAGUUAGACUACGGAUCAUGAAAACCCCUGCAUGGUUGGCUGGUCUUCCCCCUUCGUCAUACCCUUCUACUUCAUCUUUCGAGAUGUUAUAAUUUAGGCUACAUUUCAAUGUAAUUUCAUCAAAUGUGAUGGCAACGUGCCUAUCUCGCUCUUCCAUAUGCUGCACUUGAUGUUUAAGUGCAUACAGCACAGGUUCAUGCCAUCCCGGCCCGAUGUCUACUCUCUGCAAGAUAUUUGAAAGGGUCCUGGCUGUAGGGAGCUUGAAAAUUCUCCUCAUGGUUCGGUAGGCUUUUGGCCCUGUACCCUUAACCUGUAACGCCCAACUUUUCAUGAAGUUGCUCCACCGAAUGGCCCUUGGUUUUUUUUUUUGGCAUUAUCAAUUUGCUCGUUGACAAAUUGUGCGGCUUGUUUUGGCAAUACUUUGGAAAUUUCCCUCUUUAAUGUUUGUUUGCUGAUAGAUGGUGUCUUUUUCUUUAGCCUUGCUUUGAUUUGUAGCAGCCAAUUUUUCUUUUCAGUUUUUCCACUGUGUUGUCAUUGCUGACACUGGCCAGUACAUCAGUGCCUAAAAAGAAAUGUGACAACUGUAACAACAGACUUAUGCACAGACUACUACCUAUGCAGUGUUCAACACUCAGAAUGUAUCUGUUACCACCAUUUGCCAUUAAAUCACUUACUAUCCAGGA
Engraulis encrasicolus (European anchovy) is the source of this 1908-nucleotide long non-coding RNA. RefSeq lists it as uncharacterized. The record is from RefSeq and is a predicted model, not a curated record. The transcript has 2 exons. NCBI's taxonomy places the organism in Eukaryota, Metazoa, Chordata, Actinopteri, Clupeiformes, Engraulidae.